Molecule: non-coding RNA, 594 nt
Organism: Bactrocera oleae (olive fruit fly)
Lineage: Eukaryota; Metazoa; Arthropoda; Insecta; Diptera; Tephritidae
Source: RefSeq, a predicted model, not a curated record
ACAGUUUGAUGUCAAAAAUAGAUGAAAUCGUUUCAUUACGUUUUUAUUCAUAUAUCCAAUAUAAUAAAUUACGUGUUUUUGGUUGACUCACCACACAUUGUCUGUGUGAGUGCAAGAUAUUUCACUAAAACAACGUGACAAUAUUUCAAUUAACAACAUGCGAUUACGAGAUCUUCUUCAGCACAGUACUACAGAACUGCCUGCCCGAAAACUUAGACGACUCUUUAGCAGUUGCUUGCGGCAAACAACGAAUUCUUUAAAUAUUAAAUUCGUUCUAGAACAGCUUGGUGGUUAUCUCCCAAUUCAGUUUCAUCUUUGAUUAAAAAAAUGUACAAAUUGGGCACAACGCUGCUUAUUGAUAUACAUAUAUUAUGGCUUAAGCUACAGCCGCCGGCCUCAAGUUUUGUUAAUAAUAGGCGGAGAGACAGUAAACGCUAUUUCGGUCCAAAAGCACCACCUUAUCAGUUCGAAAAUGGAGAAUAUAAACUAUUAAAGAAACUACUAGAUAACUUUUUACCAAACGAACUGAUCAAAAGCCUUCAGAGAAAGAUACGAUUUCCACAUUAAUCGGUGAACUAAAUCAAGUGAGAUUCC